GAUUCCAGGCGUGAGCCGCUGUGCCCGGCCAGCAGUGCAAUCUGAGUUGCAGAAAAUCUUUGGUGCUUUCAUAGAGCAGCUCUUGGGUGUGGUGAAGACUAGGAACGAAAGUACAAAUGCAGACAUGAGGAUGCACACACAGCACACCUGAAAGCAAGGAUCAUUCCAAAAUGGAAGAGAAUGGCUCUUUUUAAAAUUGUGUAAUAUAUAAAUUUUGUAAAAUAUUA
This is a non-coding RNA of Macaca mulatta (Rhesus monkey), 227 nucleotides long. NCBI's taxonomy places the organism in Eukaryota, Metazoa, Chordata, Mammalia, Primates, Cercopithecidae. The record is from RefSeq and is a predicted model, not a curated record.